RNAcentral lists this ribosomal RNA (489 nucleotides) under uncultured bacterium. RNAcentral describes it as "bacterial SSU rRNA". It matches the Rfam family "Bacterial small subunit ribosomal RNA", at positions 17 to 518 of the family's 1533-position model. The record is from RNAcentral.
UCCUGGCUCAGGAUGAACGCUGGCGGCGUGCUUAACACAUGCAAGUCGAACGGUGCUUAAUGAAACCUAGUGAUUAUGCACAGUGGCGGACGGGUGAGUAACGCGUGGGUAACCUGCCGCAUGCAGGGGGACAACAGAGGGAAACUUCUGCUAAUACCGCAUAAGCGCACGGGAUCGCAUGAUCCGGUGUGAAAAAGAUUUGUCGGCAUGCGAUGGACCCGCGUCUGAUUAGGCAGUUGGUGAGGUAACGGCCCACCAAACCUACGAUCAGUAGCCGGCCUGAGAGGGUGAACGGCCACAUUGGGACUGAGACACGGCCCAAACUCCUACGGGAGGCAGCAGUGGGGAAUAUUGCACAAUGGGGGAAACCCUGAUGCAGCCGACGCCGCGUGAGUGAAGAAGCAUUUCGGUGCGUAAAGCUCUGUCAGCAGGAAAGAAAAUGACGGUACCUGACCAAGAAGCCCCGGCUAACUACGUGCCAGCAGCAGC